GAGUGGCGAACUGGUGAGUAACACGUGGGAAACCUGCCCAGAAGCGGGGGAUAACACCUGGAAACAGAUGCUAAUACCGCAUAACAACUUGGACCGCAUGGUCCGAGCUUGAAAGAUGGCUUCGGCUAUCACUUUUGGAUGGUCCCGCGGCGUAUUAGCUAGAUGGUGGGGUAACGGCUCACCAUGGCAAUGAUACGUAGCCGACCUGAGAGGGUAAUCGGCCACAUUGGGACUGAGACACGGCCCAAACUCCUACGGGAGGCAGCAGUAGGGAAUCUUCCACAAUGGACGAAAGUCUGAUGGAGCAACGCCGCGUGAGUGAAGAAGGGUUUCGGCUCGUAAAACUCUGUUGUUAAAGAAGAACAUAUCUGAGAGUAACUGUUCAGGUAUUGACGGUAUUUAACCAGAAAGCCACGGCUAACUACGUGCCAGCAGCCGCGGUAAUACGUAGGUGGCAAGCGUUGUCCGGAUUUAUUGGGCGUAAAGCGAGCGCAGGCGGUUUUUUAAGUCUGAUGUGAAAGCCUUCGGCUCAACCGAAGAAGUGCAUCGGAAACUGGGAAACUUGAGUGCAGAAGAGGACAGUGGAACUCCAUGUGUAGCGGUGAAAUGCGUAGAUAUAUGGAAGAACACCAGUGGCGAAGGCGGCUGUCUGGUCUGUAACUGACGCUGAGGCUCGAAAGUAUGGGUAGCAAACAGGAUUAGAUACCCUGGUAGUCCAUACCGUAAACGAUGAAUGCUAAGUGUUGGAGGGUUUCCGCCCUUCAGUGCUGCAGCUAACGCAUUAAGCAUUCCGCCUGGGGAGUACGGCCGCAAGGCUGAAACUCAAAGGAAUUGACGGGGGCCCGCACAAGCGGUGGAGCAUGUGGUUUAAUUCGAAGCUACGCGAAGAACCUUACCAGGUCUUGACAUACUAUGCAAAUCUAAGAGAUUAGACGUUCCCUUCGGGGACAUGGAUACAGGUGGUGCAUGGUUGUCGUCAGCUCGUGUCGUGAGAUGUUGGGUUAAGUCCCGCAACGAGCGCAACCCUUAUUAUCAGUUGCCAGCAUUAAGUUGGGCACUCUGGUGAGACUGCCGGUGACAAACCGGAGGAAGGUGGGGAUGACGUCAAAUCAUCAUGCCCCUUAUGACCUGGGCUACACACGUGCUACAAUGGAUGGUACAACGAGUUGCGAACUCGCGAGAGUAAGCUAAUCUCUUAAAGCCAUUCUCAGUUCGGAUUGUAGGCUGCAACUCGCCUACAUGAAGUCGGAAUCGCUAGUAAUCGCGGAUCAGCAUGCCGCGGUGAAUACGUUCCCGGGCCUUGUACACACCGCCCGUCACACCAUGAGAGUUUGUAACACCCAAAGUCGGU
This 1351-nucleotide ribosomal RNA is filed under the name Lactiplantibacillus plantarum. RNAcentral's name for it is "bacterial SSU rRNA". It matches the Rfam family "Bacterial small subunit ribosomal RNA", at positions 93 to 1431 of the family's 1533-position model. The record is from RNAcentral. Lineage: Bacteria; Bacillati; Bacillota; Bacilli; Lactobacillales; Lactobacillaceae.